CACAAAAUACUUGUAAUCUUAACCUAAAUCCAUAAUAAACAAAAACAUAUAUGUAUAUCCAAGGCUCUAUUUUGAAAUUGUAGCCAUCUUACACACACACACACUUAUCUAAUUUGAGAAAUUUAGUUAAUUUAUUAAAGAAAAUCUUAAUGAAUGUUUUAUUUUUACAGUAAAUUUCUAUAAGCACAAGCUUUUAGUUAAUUGUGUACUGUUUUAUUUGGCAACUCUCAUCAAAGAACCAAACAAUCUUCAUCCUUUGUUUUAAAUACAAUCUAUAUUCAUAAAGAUCGGUUGUGGGCAGUCUUAUGCUCAAAGUUUAUUUACUUUGUUAUUAUGGUAUAAUCCUUUUGCUUUAGUAGCGUACGUUAACUACUUUCUAAAUUUAAAACAACUAUUUUUGUAAAUUCAACCAUUGAUCAUAAUCUUGAAAACAACCCGAAUGAUCAACGUUCUUGAUAUUGAUUAUAAUAUCCAUAUUAAAUUGAAAAAACACAAAAUAGCUUUAUAUUAAAUGAAUUAAAAUGCAAAUUCGAGCUCUAAGUUCCCUCCCAUGUUAAAAUUGAAGAUGGUGGGAUUAUUAAUUAUCUAUAAAUAGCGUGUAUGUGCUAGAAAACUAUUCUUUUUAUUAGCAUUUAACCCAUUUAGAGUCUUUGAAAAUUUUAGUUGCAAGUUAAUCUCAAGGUUAAAUUCUAUAAACAAAUUAGAAGAUUUCGAAAGUGUAAUGCCUGAUAUGGUAUACUAAUGACUUAUGAAAAAUUUAGAUAAGAUAUAAUAUUUCAUAAACCUAUUUAUACUAAGAAAUUUAGUCUAAAUAAUAAAGAUAAUAAGUCCAACUCUAUUUUUCACUUGUUAAACCAAUAAUUGGUCAAUUUUUGGUCUUAGAUUAAUUCCAUACUCAUGGAAAAGGUAGUGAAUGACUGAUGUGAAGUGUCACCAAUGUGGUGUCAAGAAAUUGUUCUUUGCUUUAAAAAUAUAGUGUCCAGAAAUGAAAGUGGGGCGCUUGCUAAUUGAACACAUGCCCCAUGGUUCUCCAAAUGCUGAAAUGCAUCUUCAAGUGUAUAUCAGGGCAGUUUUCUUGGGUCACAAGCUAAAUACUAAGCCAACUAGCUAUUUAUUCACGUCAAGGAGUAUUUGGUCAUGGUUUCUUGUAUCUAUUAAUCAUUGUUUUAAAAACCUAACUCGCUCGAUAGAUUAAUCAUAAAUGGGUUUAGGUUAAAGAAAAAAAUAAUUUAAUUGAUUUAAUUAAAAAUCUGGGUUUAUCCAAUCAAAACAUGAUUAUCAAUUUAUUAUUU
This is a long non-coding RNA of Populus euphratica (Euphrates poplar), 1292 nucleotides long. RefSeq lists it as uncharacterized. NCBI's taxonomy places the organism in Eukaryota, Viridiplantae, Streptophyta, Magnoliopsida, Malpighiales, Salicaceae. The record is from RefSeq and is a predicted model, not a curated record. The transcript has 2 exons.